Long non-coding RNA from Ostrea edulis (European flat oyster), 802 nucleotides. RefSeq lists it as uncharacterized. NCBI's taxonomy places the organism in Eukaryota, Metazoa, Mollusca, Bivalvia, Ostreida, Ostreidae. The transcript is spliced from 3 exons. The record is from RefSeq and is a predicted model, not a curated record.
CUCUUAAGGUAGAGACCGAUAGCAACCACGUGAUCAGUAAAAAUCGUGUAUUUUCACGUGAAAUUAUUUUUCGGAAUUCCGUACAUCUCCAUAGAGUAGUUGAAAAACAAAAAGGGGUUCCGAAAGUACAAGUUGUUGCUGUGACUGAAUCGAUGAUUGAGAGGGUCGUCUCGACGAAAGAUAGAGAAAUUUGGCCAUAGUUUAGAUUAGGAAUACGUCAAUGUAAUAAUAGUGGGCUAAAUGUUUCGUCAGUGCAGGAUGGCACUUUUUACCUCACGAAAUUCACCACCAUGCAUAGCUGCGCUACGUAAACAAAGUUGUUGAUGUAGCGUGAUCGUGAUGUCCGAGUGCUGCGAGUUUCAAUACUGUUUAUGUAGUCAUUGAGAGUUUAAACAAAGUUUCUUCUGAGAAGAGGAAUUCGAUGGAUGCAUUCAACGUGGACAACGAAAUCAUAAUUUCGUUUGCAUCAUCCUAAGGACCAGUGCAAGUUGAAAUGGGCUUCCAGCCAACAACUUCAACAGCAAUUUGCCAUGAAAAUCACCAAGAAAGGUACUUCAUUUACAUUGAUGAUGUCAUAUCCCCUGGACCCCACAACUUUACAGGUUACAGAGAAAAUUCAAGAACUUCUGCAAAAUGUGGGACUUGGAUAGAAUCAAUAAUGUAUUUGUGAGCCCAGAGCAAUGGAUAUAUUGUGCAACAUACUAUUCUAAAGUGUGAAUUUAAUGGAAAACAAGUACAUGUACUCAUGUAUUACAUGUCUUUUUUAAGACAAUAAUAUUGAAUAAAUAUAGAGGAAGUGUCA